UACGUAGGUGGCAAGCGUUGUCCGGAAUUAUUGGGCGUAAAGAGCAUGUAGGUGGAUUACUAAGUCUGACGUGAAAAUGCGGGGCUCAACCCCGUAUGGCGUUGGAUACUGGUAGUCUUGAGUGCAGGAGAGGAAAGGGGAAUUCCCAGUGUAGCGGUGAAAUGCGUAGAUAUUGGGAGGAACACCAGUGGCGAAGGCGCCUUUCUGGACUGUGUCUGACACUGAGAUGCGAAAGCUAGGGUAGCAAACGGG
Molecule: ribosomal RNA, 252 nt
Filed under: uncultured bacterium
Lineage: Bacteria
Description: partial 16S ribosomal RNA
Rfam family: Bacterial small subunit ribosomal RNA
Source: RNAcentral